This 325-nucleotide unclassified non-coding RNA is filed under the name fungal sp. RNAcentral's name for it is "partial internal transcribed spacer region". The stretch from base 1 to 45 matches the Rfam family "Eukaryotic small subunit ribosomal RNA", at positions 1787 to 1831 of the family's 1831-position model. Lineage: Eukaryota; Fungi. The record is from RNAcentral.
AGUCGUAACAAGGUAUCCGUAGGUGAACCUGCGGAUGGAUCAUUAACAAAGGUGAUUUUGAAGUUGUGUGAACAGUUGGAGGUGGUGGUGGUGGUGGUAUUGGGUGGUACUGGGUGGUAUUGGGUGGUAUUGGGUGGUAUUGAGUGGUGUAACCUUGGUCUAACCUUGGUCAACCUCACUCAACCUCACUCAACCUCACUCUCCCAACCUCACUCUCCCAACCUCACUCUCCCAACCUCCACCACUCCGUCCCUAUAAUGUAUACAAACUGAUGUCUGCUAGUUUCAAACUAAAACAACUUUUAGCAACGGAUCUCUUGGCUCUC